Molecule: long non-coding RNA, 1736 nt
Organism: Cyprinus carpio (common carp)
Lineage: Eukaryota; Metazoa; Chordata; Actinopteri; Cypriniformes; Cyprinidae
Source: Ensembl
AUGUACAGAAAAGUUAGACUCUUUGUAGCUACUAGUAGCUUUUCAUGGCUGCCUUCAUUCCAGCUCGCCCUUCUGCUCUACACUCAUUUUGCCUCCAAUAAAGUGUUUAUUAUUACAGCUCUACCAGUACUUCAUUGGUUGUCUUAUUUAUUUUGGAAUGAAAAGAAAUGCUGUCUACGUUGUCUAUAUUAUUUAAUUUGGUUAAUGAAGAUUGUGAUGAGUGGCGUAAUGGUGUAUUUUUACAUUAUGCUCUUGAGAAAUGAAAAAGCUGAUGCAGGACCGGUCUGUUUGGCAGGAUUUGUUCAAGCCUUGUGGGUGCUUGCAUUUUCUGAAGUCCCAGUCUAUUAUGAGAAGCUCAGCAUGAGGAAAAUGAUGUUCCUGUAUGGAUCAGCUGGUCUUGUUUUAGUGAACUCUGCUGCACUGAUGACAGAACUGAUAAUGAAAGCAGUUUAUGGUGUACGCCUGGUGGGAGAUUUGAGAGCCAUUGUCUUUCUGUCUGAGUGGCUUUUCACUGUAGCAUUGCUGAUUUUAUCCCUUCUUGCAUCCUGGAAACCCGUCAACACCGAGUCUCAGGAGGCUUCUCGGAUGUCGAUAGAUUAUAAUGCGACUCCUGGUACAAAGCACACCAGUGUAGAUAUGAACCAGAUGACUGGAGAAUCCGUUGAAAUGGAAACUCUGAGAAAAGUAUCCGAGAACAGCGAGGAGCAUCAAGAAGAGGAGAUCAACUAACAGUAAAGUGAACUGCACUUUCUAGAAGAUCUGACUGAACCUUUCUCACUGGGCAGAGGUUUUCAUGGAAUUAAAAAUUUCUGAGGGUAAAACCAUCGAACAUGCCAUUUGUUAUUUAUUUAUUUAUUUUUUGUCUGCAUAACUAUUAGCAGCAGACAUUGGUGCACUGCACAUCAUCAUAUUUCAGCCUGAAUUAUUUUUAUAACUGCACUGUUGUGCCAUUGGUAUUGUGGUUGCCAAACUAUGCUGAAUUCUACUUUGAAGUGACUUAAGUGUUUGAAGUGACUCAAAAAUUGUUUAUAUACUCUCAAACUUUUAUAUUUUUAUGCAUUUAAAUAUUUUACAUGUAAUAUGUAGCCUAUGUAAAUUAUUUACUUUAUGUAAUUUGUUAAAAUAUGCACUUUCUCAUCUUUGUUCUUAUGUUAUUGCUGACUAUGCUUUAAAAGUGCUUAGAGCACUUACGACAGUAUUUACUAAAGCAAUCAGCAUUAUUUUUCUUUAGUACCAAAAUGGGUAUUGAGGAAUGUUAAAUUUUACUGUAACUUUAUUGUGACUCUCUUUCAAGAGUUAGGGGUAUGUUUCUGGCCAGAGUAAGCUGCAAAGUGGAUCCAGAGUUGAAUGUAUAACAUAAUAUGCUCUUCUGUUGCUUUUUUCACUGACAUUUUUUGUGAAACAUGUUCUACCUUUUUCUUCUCUUUGGGAUGUUUAUGCACAUUGACUUCUGAGAUGAUGUUACUGUAUAUAUGACAAGAUUCUGCCUCUGAUAAAUUUGUGUAAGGUAUCAUCUUAAAUGUAAGAAGACCUUUGUUUUACAGGAUAUUGUUAUAGGCCUACAUGUUUAUUUUAUUAUUCAGAAGUAUUUUUAAAUGUAUUAUUUAUUAUUAUAAUAUUUUUUAAUUUAUUUUUCAUAUUUUUUGUACCAAGUUCAAACACAUGAUCUCAUGUAGUAUUAAAAUAUGAUCUGCAUCGCUCUGUAUAUUAUAAUAAAUAUUUUGCAAGAAAUUACA